This 1415-nucleotide ribosomal RNA is filed under the name metagenome. RNAcentral describes it as "bacterial LSU rRNA". It matches the Rfam family "Bacterial large subunit ribosomal RNA", at positions 1501 to 2925 of the family's 2925-position model. The record is from RNAcentral.
GAAAUGUGUGUCCAAGCAGCAAGUCUGAGAACGAGUGAAAUGCUUUUUCUCUCAAGGACAAGCUGUGAUGGGGAGCGAAAUUUAGUAGCGAAGUUCCUGAUGUCACACUGCCAAGAAAAGCAUCUAGUGAGAAAGUAACUGCUCGUACCGCAAACCGACACAGGUAGUUGAGGAGAGAAUCCUAAGGUGUGCGAGAGAACUCUCGUUAAGGAACUCGGCAAAAUGACCCCGUAACUUCGGGAGAAGGGGUGCUGACCGCAAGGUCAGCCGCAGUGUAUAGGCCCAAGCGACUGUUUAUCAAAAACACAGGUCUCUGCAAAAUCGAAAGAUGACGUAUAGGGGCUGACGCCUGCCCGGUGCUGGAAGGUUAAGAGGAGAGGUUAGCGCAAGCGAAGCUUUGAAUUGAAGCCCCAGUAAACGGCGGCCGUAACGAUAUCGGUCCUAAGGUAGCGAAAUUCCUUGUCGGGUAAGUUCCGACCCGCACGAAAGGCGUAACGAUUUGGGCACUGUCUCAACGAGAGACUCGGUGAAAUUAUAGUACCAGUGAAGAUGCUGGUUACCCGCGACAGGACGGAAAGACCCCAUGGAGCUUUACUGCAGUUUGAUAUUGCGUGUUUGUAUCACAUGUACAGGAUAGGUAGGAGCCGAAGAUACCGGGACGCCAGUCUCGGAGGAGGCAACGGUGGGAUACUACCCUUGUGAUAUGACCACUCUAACCCGCUGCUCUUAGCGAGCAGGGAGACAGUGUCAGACGGGCAGUUUGACUGGGGCGGUCGCCUCCAAAAAUGUAACGGAGGCGCCCAAAGGUUCCCUCAGAAUGGUUGGAAAUCAUUCGUAGAGUGUAAAGGCAGAAGGGAGCUUGACUGCGAGACCUACAAGUCGAGCAGGGACGAAAGUCGGGCUUAGUGAUCCGGUGGUUCCGCAUGGAAGGGCCAUCGCUCAACGGAUAAAAGCUACCCUGGGGAUAACAGGCUUAUCUCCCCCAAGAGUUCACAUCGACGGGGAGGUUUGGCACCUCGAUGUCGGCUCAUCGCAUCCUGGGGCUGUAGUCGGUCCCAAGGGUUGGGCUGUUCGCCCAUUAAAGCGGUACGCGAGCUGGGUUCAGAACGUCGUGAGACAGUUCGGUCCCUAUCCGUCGCGGGCGUUGGAAAUUUGAGAGGAGCUGCCCUUAGUACGAGAGGACCGGGAUGGACACACCGCUGGUGUACCAGUUGUUCUGCCAAGAGCAUCGCUGGGUAGCUAUGUGUGGACGGGAUAAACGCUGAAAGCAUCUAAGCGUGAAGCCCCCCUCAAGAUGAGAUUUCCCAUCACUUUAAGUGAGUAAGACCCCUGAGAGAUGAUCAGGUAGAUAGGUUGGGAGUGGAAAUACAGCGAUGUAUGGAGCGGACCAAUACUAAUCGGUCGAGGACUUAAUC